This 267-nucleotide ribosomal RNA is filed under the name Planctomycetota bacterium. RNAcentral's name for it is "partial 16S ribosomal RNA". It matches the Rfam family "Bacterial small subunit ribosomal RNA", at positions 1 to 246 of the family's 1533-position model. Lineage: Bacteria; Pseudomonadati; Planctomycetota. The record is from RNAcentral.
AAACUGAAGAGUUUGAUCCUGGCUCAGAACGAACGCUGGCGGCGUGGCUAAGGCAUGCAAGUCGAACGGACCCUUUCAAGGGGUAACCCGAGAAUUGGUUAGUGGCGAACGGGUGAGGAAUACUUGGAUAACGUACCCCGAACUCAGGGAUAGCGGCGGACUUCGGUCCUUUGCGAAAGUGCCGGUAAUACCUGAUGACCCCGCGUGAUCGCAUGAUCGUGCGGGCAAAGCUCCGACGGUUCGGGAUCGGUUCAAGUCCUAUCAGCU